CCUACGGGUGGCAGCAGUAGGGAAUCUUCCACAAUGGGCGCAAGCCUGAUGGAGCAACACCGCGUGAGUGAAGAAGGGCUUCGGCUCGUAAAGCUCUGUUGUUGGAGAAGAACGUGCGCGAGAGUAACUGUUCACGCGGUGACGGUACCCAACCAGAAAGCACCGGCUAACUACGUGCCAGCAGCCGCGGUAAUACGUAGGGGGCGAGCGUUAGCCGGAGUUAGUGGGCGUAAAGCGCCCGCAGGCGGUCGCUUAGGUCAAGUGUGAAAGCCUUCGGCUUAACCGAGGAAGUGCAUAGGAAACCGGGCAACUUGAGUGCGGAAGAGGACAGUGGAACUCCAGGUGUAGCGGUGGAAUGCGUAGAUAUAUGGAAGAACACCAGUGGCGAAGGCGACUGUCUGGUCUGCAACUGACGCUGAGGCUCGAAAGCAUGGGUAGCAAACAGGAUUAGAUACCCGUGUAGUC
Molecule: ribosomal RNA, 465 nt
Filed under: uncultured bacterium
Lineage: Bacteria
Description: partial 16S ribosomal RNA
Rfam family: Bacterial small subunit ribosomal RNA
Source: RNAcentral